CAUCUCCUAUCAGUUAGGGAUGAAGCAAUCCCUUGUUCAUCCCCAGCUUGGCUUUUGAUCUAUGCCUGGUUCAUACCUUGGACACAUGG
This 89-nucleotide small nucleolar RNA is filed under the name Macaca nemestrina (pig-tailed macaque). RNAcentral's name for it is "Small nucleolar RNA SNORA48 (ENSMNEG00000011103.1)". It matches the Rfam family "Small nucleolar RNA SNORA48", at positions 42 to 135 of the family's 135-position model. Rfam says of the family: The snoRNA ACA 48 has been identified to guide pseudouridylation of the residue U3797 in the 28S rRNA subunit. Lineage: Eukaryota; Metazoa; Chordata; Mammalia; Primates; Cercopithecidae. The record is from RNAcentral.